AUUCCAGCUCCUAAAGUGUAUACUAACGUUGUUGCAGUUAAAAAGCUCGUAGUUGAACUAUUGGUGUGGGUGAAUGUUGGCCCUUUGGAUGUAUUGUCCAUUGUUGUUGCUACUUUACCUUGCCAUCUUGGAUUUUCUUUUUUCUUUAGGAGAUCCUCUUUCACUGUAAAAAAAUUAGGGUGUUCCAAGCAGAUUGUAAUUGGUCGGAAUAUUUCAGUAUGGGAUGAUAAGAUAAGCUGUUGUUGCUAUUUUGUUGGUUUGUACAAUAACAGAAUGAUUAACAGGGACAGUUGGGGGUAUUCGUAUUUAGAUGUCAGAGGUGAAAUUCUUGGAUUUUCGAAAGACGAACUACUGCGAAAGCAUUUACCAAGGAUGUUUUCAUUA
RNAcentral lists this ribosomal RNA (384 nucleotides) under Thraustochytrium sp. Its description in RNAcentral is "partial small subunit ribosomal RNA". It matches the Rfam family "Eukaryotic small subunit ribosomal RNA", at positions 582 to 975 of the family's 1831-position model. The record is from RNAcentral. Lineage: Eukaryota; Bigyra; Thraustochytrida; Thraustochytriidae.